This is a long non-coding RNA of Frankliniella occidentalis (western flower thrips), 347 nucleotides long. RefSeq lists it as uncharacterized. Lineage: Eukaryota; Metazoa; Arthropoda; Insecta; Thysanoptera; Thripidae. The record is from RefSeq and is a predicted model, not a curated record. The transcript has 3 exons.
UCAGGACUAAAAGCUGGAUUGAUGAUCAUAGAAAUCUCACAAUUGACAAUAUCACUGAAUUUGAAGGCAAUGAUCUUAUUCAGCUGCAACCAGUCACUAACACUUCUCUAUUUAUGGGAAAUUACCCGAAUGAGUACACUCCAAGCAGUGAUAUAGCAUCCAAUAUUCUUCCAAUUAAGUCCAUUACUUUUCUUUCACAGUUAAGAUUUUUGGAAGUGCAGAUACCAUUUUUCUAUAGCUCCCCCAGCAAUUGACCAUUUCAUUCUUCCAAAUCCUAUAAUCAGCGGUGGCCAUGUUUGGGUACCUUAAGACAUUCAAUGAUCAAUCAAUCAAUCAAUAAUAAUAAU